Gasterosteus aculeatus aculeatus (three-spined stickleback) is the source of this 1037-nucleotide long non-coding RNA. The record is from Ensembl. Lineage: Eukaryota; Metazoa; Chordata; Actinopteri; Perciformes; Gasterosteidae.
UCUGGAGGAGGCGUGGCUUUGUUCUGCUGCAGCGGAGAAAUAUGACAUGGGGACGAGAGAGAGAGAGACAGCCUGACAGGAAUUAACGGCUCGACAGAGUUUCUGGACUGCGAAACGUGAGGAUGGGGAGUAAUGACUGAAAGCAAAAGGUGCAGCAGGGCACCGAGGAGAGGGCGCUUGACACCUGAUCAAUUGCAACAGUGGAUUGUGUUCCUGUCAUUGGCAUUUAGCUACAGAAAAGCAGAGAUGACGCUUGUUGUUAAACCCAGUUGGAUUUCAUUGUGGCAGUGCCUCUUUAUCAAAGUGCUUGUCGACUGAUGCUUCUGUGCCAGUUGCUCAAGACCUACUUCAAAAAUAAAAUGUCACGCAAAUAAGUCUUAUUUUUAUUCACAUAUUUGGCACCAAAGGACCCAGCAGCCAGGAUGUUUUUUUUCUCUCACUCUGGUAUCAGGAGGCAGGAUCUUAAAAAAACAGUCUAGGUAAAUCAUCAUGUAAACCCCUGAAAGGCACCUGGAAAGGGGGCUUAAAUCUCUCGUUUCCUUUUGAAAAAAAUUCUACUUCUUCAUGCCGGACUCGACCAAAAGUCCUGCAGUGCAGAGGACAUGCAGUGAGUCAAGUCCCCAUGAUAAUCACAGCCCAAUCACUGCACGGCUUUGAGGCCAGCGUUGUUCUUCAGAAAUCUCCACAGGUGGGAUGGCGAUGUUAAGUGUCUGCAGGCAGAGUGAGGUCAGCUAGAGGCCAUGCAGGCGAGCAAACAGACGUCUCUCACAGACACACACACAAAAAAGAGGAGGGAGGAGCUUUCAGGAGUCACUGCUCAGUGGUCACAUGUGAGUCUGCACGUUGGCCUUAAUGUUGGACAGGCACUUUUGGGAAAAUGUGUCCCCCGAACAUUCUCAAAUGUGUUCGAGAAUACAACACACAGAGAAGUUGUAAGCUUGUAUGAUGGAGCUGCAAUAAAUGCUUACACCAGUAUUCCCUUACCUGCUCUGAUAAAGGCUUCAACCACCGAAAUGUUGUAAUAUCUUUUGUGUUUU